GAUUAAACACAAAAAAUUUUUGUGUGUUCACUGUGAGCCUCUGAGUUUACUGAACAUACUCCUGGACGUGAUUUUGAAACCACCUCAAGUAAAAAAGGUUUACUUGACAACCGAGAUAACAGGGUAUAUGCGACAGUAAAUGAACCUUGCUUUCUUGAAUAUGCUCCAGUAUGUAAUAUAGUCUUAUCUUCACAGGAUGGGUGUCUGCUUUUACAAACUGCGAAGAAAGCACAGUUUAUGGUACUGCUUAUAAGGCACUUUUUGAACAUCUUGGCUUGAACAGGACUGACGUUCCAAAAACCCACCUACUGCCUUACUUCAUGGACCCUCCUACUGACGUUUAUGUGGACCUGUAUGUGACGUCCAUCAUAGAAGUGAAUGAAAAAGCCCAGAGCCUCUCAACACAGGUCAAAAAGAUGACUGCUUGGUUCAAUAACAUGGGGUGGCAGUACGAUCAGUUUUGUGGAAUUGAAGCAGUUCCAGCAACAAAAGAUAUGUUUUGGACUCCAGAUAUUAUUAUCAAAGAAAG
Cyprinus carpio (common carp) is the source of this 529-nucleotide long non-coding RNA. RefSeq lists it as uncharacterized. The transcript has 3 exons. The record is from RefSeq and is a predicted model, not a curated record. Lineage: Eukaryota; Metazoa; Chordata; Actinopteri; Cypriniformes; Cyprinidae.